Molecule: RNA transcript, 3780 nt
Organism: Vitis riparia (riverbank grape)
Lineage: Eukaryota; Viridiplantae; Streptophyta; Magnoliopsida; Vitales; Vitaceae
Gene name: disease resistance protein RPP13-like
Exons: 4
Source: RefSeq, a predicted model, not a curated record
UGAGAGACUUCUUUGAUUGCUAGCUGAAUUUCAACUUCUGAAUUAAAUAUUGCCUUCAUAUGAUGGGUCGUUGGUCGAUCAAAAUCAAGUCCAGCUCAUGCAUUUCUGGCAUUUACAUAAAAUACUCUUCUCAGUCCUUUCCACCAAAAAAACAAAAGCACAAUAAUGCAAUGGUUUGGUCAAUGAAGAUACCUUGAUCGACAUGAUAAGGUCUUGCUUCUUGGCAUUCCUGCUAAAGAUUUAUCAUCUCCGUUCGACUGUUUAAGGGGAGUAAUAAGGAGAAGAUUAAGAUGGAAAGGGCUGUAAUCUCCUUUGUCGUAAACAGGAUUGGUGACCAACUCAUGGAAGAAGCAAUUUUCUUGAAGGAGGUGCGCCCACGAAUUGAGAGGCUGCAUAGAGAUCUGAAGGCGAUCAACUGCUUCUUAGAAGCAGCAGAUGCGAAGCAAGAGGAAGACCCAAGAGUGCGUAACUGGGUUUCGGACAUCCGAGAUGUUGCUUAUGAUGCUGAGGACGUUGUCGACAUGUUCAUCCUUAAGGCUGAGGCCCUGAGGAGAAAAAUCUUUGUCAAGCGCAUUUUCCAAAAGCCCGUGUAUCUGCAUAAUCUUGGCAAGAAAAUUGAUGAGAUCCAAACCAACCUCCAUGACAUCUCAAGGAGGCGAGAAAUCCUGGGAAUAAAAAAUAUUGGAGUAGGAACAAGUACUUCAAGUAAGAUGCUGCAGAAUCUAAGACGGACCACUCCUCGCGCCGAAAAACAUGUCAUUGUGGGCCUGAAUGAAGAAGCAAAUAAGCUAGUGGAGCAGCUGACCACGGGGGACCCAAGGCGCCGCGUGGUUUCUAUGGUAGGAAUGGGCGGCAUCGGCAAAACUACUCUUGCCAAGAAAGUCUAUAAUCAUAGCAGAGUUAUGGAUCAUUUUCAGUCUUGUCGUGUCUGGGUUUAUGUAUCCGAAGAUUGUAGACCCAGGAAUAUUUUUCAGCAAAUUCUAAACCAACUUCUUCAUAACCCAAAGCAGAUAGAGAAAUUGCAGGAGAACGAGUUGGAGGAUUUACUUCACGAGCACCUAGAGGAGAAAAGAUUUUUGGUAGUUUUGGAUGACAUAUGGAAAAGUGACGAUUGGAAGUGUCUUGCAAGGGUGUUCCCAGAGGAGAGUAAUGGCAGCAGAUUACUUCUUACAACUCGAAAUAAGGAUGUUGCUUUGCAAGCAGAUGCUCGAAGUGUUCCACAUGACAUGCAGCUUCUCUCGGAAGAAGAGGGUUGGAAGUUGUUUUGUAGAACUGCAAUCCCUGACAAUGUUACUGACGGUUGUCCUCCAGAGUUGAAGGAAUUUGGGGAAAAAAUGGUGAAGAAAUGUGCUGGUUUACCAUUGGCUAUUGUUGUAUUGGGAGGCUUGUUGUCUUCCAAAAAGCAGUUGCCGACUAUGUGGGAAGAAGUGUUCAACAAACUCCGGGUGCACUUUGCCGCACGCAAUGGAGUAGAUGCAAUAUUGAGCUUAAGCUACAUCGAUCUGCCCCACAACUUGAAAUCGUGCUUUCUUUAUCUAGGCCUCUUUCCAGAAGAUCAGGUAAUCUCCAAGAGAACAUUACUGCUUCUAUGGAUGGCUGAGGGUUUUAUCCCACAGCAAGAUGAACAAAGACUGGAGGACACUGCUGAGGAUUAUUUGAAUGAGUUAAUCAAUAGAAACUUGGUUCAAGCGGUAGCAGUGAGUGUUAAUGAGAGAGUUACAGAAUGCCGGAUUCAUGAUCUAGUACGGGAUUUAUGCAUAAAAAAAGCCAAGGAGCAAAACUUUGUUGAGAUUCAAAAGGACAUAGUUUCUCUUCCCUCAACUACUUCAUCUUUUCCUUUCACCAAAUCCCGUCGACUAGGUAUUUAUUUGGACUUGGAGAGGUAUGCUUCCAGAGAACAUUCAACCCCAUAUAUUCGGUCUCUCUUCUUUUUUGUACUCCAACGUAGUCCCCAUAGUCGAUAUUAUGGGAUACUAUCAUGGUUAGAUUUUAUUUACAAAUAUUUCAAAUUACUUAGAGUGUUAGACUUGGGAAAUGUAAAGAUCUAUGAGCCACCAAAUUCAUUUGGGAAACUAGUUCAUUUAAGGUACUUGAGAUUAACAGCGCAUAGGUAUUCAAACUGUCCACCUUCUUGUUUGGGGAGUUUGCAGGACUGUGUAAACUUUCCAACCUCCUUAGAUGAGCUAAGGAGUUUACAGACUUUGGAUAUAUGUAUUUCUAAAGGAACACCAACUAUGAUAGAGAAAAUGAAAAAUCUACGACACCUUUUCCUCUCGUAUGAUAGAGAAGAUGACAAGCCAUUACGGAUUGACAAUCUAAGAAAUCUCCAAACUCUGUCCGGAAUAUGGUUUAGUGAUUGGCAACAAAAUGACACAAGUGACUUAACUAGCCUUCGGAAACUGAAAAUAAAAAUGGAUGACGCGAUAGUGGUCGAGUUUUCAAACUCCAUUGCUAAGCUUGAGAAUCUUCGCUCCUUGUAUCUUAAGGCAUCACAUUUCUCCGGGGUUCCAUCCUUCGACAUGAGCUCUUUGCUACAUCUAUCUAAGCUGCAUAUGGAAAGAUCCAUAGGGCAAUUACAUGAGUUCCCACCAAAUCUAACACAGCUGACCUUAGAAGAUACUGAGCUAGACUAUGACCCAAUGGUGAUUUUGGAGAAGCUACCAAAAUUGUUGACUUUAAGAUUAAGAAUGUGGUCAUACCGUGGAUGGGAAAUGCAAGUAUCUGCAGGUGGCUUUCCUCAACUCAAAAUCCUUCAACUUUCUGACUUAUACGGACCGAUGAAGUUGUUGAUUAUAGAGAAGGGUGGCAUGACAAACCUUACUCAGUUACAGAUUUUUAGAAGUGUCUUGGACAUCUAUGGACUUGGUGAGCUCUUACAUCUGAAGAGGAUAGAUGUCAUUGAUAUAUCUCCACAUUCUCAUCGCUGGAUUUCUUCUUUACCCUGUUCUUCUGAAUGGCAAGAUAUAAGAAGCAAGACGGAAGAAGGCAAGGAUAUAUGGCACUUAUACCGGCAAUGAUUCUUGGGGUUAUAUGCAGCAGCACAAUUGAUUUUAGAUAAUGAAGUCAAAUGAUAAACCAAGGUAGCUAGAGAUUGAGAAUCCAAUGGAGUGGUUUUUCCACAAGAGAAGGGGACCAGAGUGGAAACAUGGGUGGACAGGCCAGACCCUCAACAACAUCUCCACACCACCUCUCCCAUUGCUAGCCAUUUUUGCCAUUGUCAUUCUCUUGUGGUCACUCUCCAAUUACACAAGCUACAAGGCCCAAUUAUACCAAACUACCAACAACUUCCAGCUAUUCCUCUUCUUGUUGCCCAUCCUCUUCAUCUUCCUCAUUGCCUCCUCCUCCUCUGAUGGGAGGCCUAGUUUCCAGGCUCCAAAUCCACAUCAUGAGUCCAAUCACAGAGCUGGGAGCUUUCCUUGGGGUGUUGCUGUCCUGGUGGGGGUGCUUCUUGUCUUGGUCUCUUACCAAUCUCUAUUUCAAUCAAAGUGGUUUGGAGCUCUCAGGAGUUCUGUUUAGUCAAAGAAACUCCGGUACUUUCUACAUAUGACAAUAAGGAUGCCUUACUUGUCAUUGUAAGGCCAGUGAAUGUACAUAUUUUGGGUUUGAUUAUGGUAUCUAUUGGGUUUCUUCUCUUUUGGGUUUUGUAAUAUGACUCAUAUUUAAGUCCUGUGUGGUAUGAUUUGUAGCAUGGUGGCACAAAGUUCAAGUGAUGGGUUUUGUAUAUUUCUUGUUUUCUCUUCAACAAGACAUACAUAAAAGUGACUAAUCCAUCUUCUUCUU